RNAcentral lists this ribosomal RNA (429 nucleotides) under Actinomycetes bacterium. Its description in RNAcentral is "Actinobacteria bacterium partial 16S ribosomal RNA". It matches the Rfam family "Bacterial small subunit ribosomal RNA", at positions 355 to 776 of the family's 1533-position model. The record is from RNAcentral. Lineage: Bacteria; Bacillati; Actinomycetota; Actinomycetes.
UAGGGAAUCUUCCGCAAUGGGCGAAAGCCUGACGGAGCAACGCCGCGUGAGUGAUGAAGGUCUUCGGAUCGUAAAACUCUGUUAUUAGGGAAGAACAAAUGUGUAAGUAACUAUGCACGUGUUGACGGUACCUAAUCAGAAAGCUAAGGCUAACUACGUGCCAGCAGCCGCGGUAAUACGUAGGGGGCAAGCGUUAUCCGGAAUUAUUGGGCGUAAAGCGCGCGUAGGCGGUUUUUUAAGUCUGAUGUGAAAGCCCACGGCUCAACCGUGGAGGGUCAGUGGAAACUGGAAAACUUGAGUGCAGAAUAGGAAACUGGAAUUCCAUGUGUAGCGGUGACAUGCGCAGAGAUAUGGAGGAACACCAGUGGCGAAGGCGACUUUCUUGUCUGUAACUGACGCUGAUGUGAGAAAGCGAGGGGAUCAAACUGG